ACGGGGAACAGGCAGAGCAUG
RNAcentral lists this microRNA (21 nucleotides) under Citrus sinensis (sweet orange). Its description in RNAcentral is "csi-miR408-5p". Its record names the gene csi-miR408-5p. The record is from miRBase by way of RNAcentral. Lineage: Eukaryota; Viridiplantae; Streptophyta; Magnoliopsida; Sapindales; Rutaceae.